UACGUAGGGACCAAGCGUUGUCCGGAAUUAUUGGGCGUAAAGAGCUCGUAGGCGGUUUGUCGCGUCUGCCGUGAAAGUCCGGGGCUCAACUCCGGAUCUGCGGUGGGUACGGGCAGACUAGAGUGAUGUAGGGGAGACUGGAAUUCCUGGUGUAGCGGUGAAAUGCGCAGAUAUCAGGAGGAACACCGAUGGCGAAGGCAGGUCUCUGGGCAUUAACUGACGCUGAGGAGCGAAAGCAUGGGGAGCGAACAGG
Molecule: ribosomal RNA, 253 nt
Filed under: uncultured bacterium
Lineage: Bacteria
Description: partial 16S ribosomal RNA
Rfam family: Bacterial small subunit ribosomal RNA
Source: RNAcentral